GAUAUCACGAAGAACUCCGAUUGCGAAGGCAGCCUGCUAGGGUGCGACAGACGCUGAGGCACGAAAGCGUGGGUAUCGAACAGGAUUAGAUACCCUGGUAGUCCACGCAGUAAACGAUGAAUACUAACUGUUUGCGAUACAAUGUAAGCGGUACAGCGAAAGCGUUAAGUAUUCCACCUGGGGAGUACGCCGGCAACGGUGAAACUCAAAGGAAUUGACGGGGGCCCGCACAAGCGGAGGAACAUGUGGUUUAAUUCGAUGAUACGCGAGGAACCUUACCCGGGCUCAAACGCAGGGGGAAUAUAUAUGAAAGUAUAUAGCUAGCAAUAGUCACCUGCGAGGUGCUGCAUGGUUGUCGUCAGCUCGUGCCGUGAGGUGUCGGCUUAAGUGCCAUAACGAGCGCAACCCCUAUCGACAGUUACUAACGGGUCAAGCCGAGGACUCUGUCGAGACUGCCGGCGCAAGCCGCGAGGAAGGUGGGGAUGACGUCAAAUCAGCACGGCCCUUACGUCCGGGGCGACACACGUGUUACAAUGGCAGGUACAGAAGGCAGCCAGUCAGCAAUGACGCGCGAAUCCCGAAAACCUGUCUCAGUUCGGAUUGGAGUCUGCAACCCGACUCCAUGAAGCUGGAUUCGCUAGUAAUCGCGCAUCAGCCAUGGCGCGGUGAAUACGUUCCCGGGCCUUGUACACACCGCCCGUCAAGCCAUGGAAGCCGGGAGUACCUGAAGCAUGCAACCGCAAGGAGCGUACGAAGGUAAUACCGGUAACUGGGGCUAAGUCGUAACAAGGUAGCCGUACCGGAAGGUGCGGCUG
RNAcentral lists this ribosomal RNA (815 nucleotides) under human gut metagenome. RNAcentral describes it as "bacterial SSU rRNA". It matches the Rfam family "Bacterial small subunit ribosomal RNA", at positions 693 to 1520 of the family's 1533-position model. The record is from RNAcentral.